This 454-nucleotide ribosomal RNA is filed under the name uncultured bacterium. Its description in RNAcentral is "bacterial SSU rRNA". It matches the Rfam family "Bacterial small subunit ribosomal RNA", at positions 64 to 507 of the family's 1533-position model. The record is from RNAcentral.
GGACGGGAUCCAUCGGAGAGCUUGCUCGAAGAUGGUGAGAGUGGCGCACGGGUGCGUAACGCGUGAGCAACCUACCUCUAUCAGGGGGAUAGCCUCUCGAAAGAGAGAUUAACACCGCAUAAUAUAAUUUGCCGGCAUCGAGGAAUUAUUAAAUAUUUAUAGGAUAGAGAUGGGCUCGCGUGACAUUAGCUAGUUGGUAGGGUAACGGCUUACCAAGGCGACGAUGUCUAGGGGCUCUGAGAGGAGAAUCCCCCACACUGGUACUGAGACACGGACCAGACUCCUACGGGAGGCAGCAGUAAGGAAUAUUGGUCAAUGGGCGGAAGCCUGAACCAGCCAUGCCGCGUGCAGGAUGACUGCCCUAUGGGUUGUAAACUGCUUUUGUCCAGGAAUAAACCUCUUUACGAGUAGAGAGCUGAAUGUACUGGAAGAAUAAGGAUCGGCUAACUCCGUG